This 253-nucleotide ribosomal RNA is filed under the name uncultured bacterium. RNAcentral describes it as "partial 16S ribosomal RNA". It matches the Rfam family "Bacterial small subunit ribosomal RNA", at positions 524 to 776 of the family's 1533-position model. The record is from RNAcentral.
UACGGGGGGAGCAAGCGUUGUUCGGAAUUACUGGGCGUAAAGGGCGCGUAGGCGGCCUGCUAAGUCGGAUGUGAAAUCCCUCGGCUCAACCGAGGAACUGCAUCCGAUACUGGCGGGCUUGAAUCCGGGAGAGGGAUGUGGAAUUCCAGGUGUAGCGGUGAAAUGCGUAGAUAUCUGGAGGAACACCGGUGGCGAAGGCGGCAUCCUGGACCGGUAUUGACGCUGAGGCGCGAAAGCUAGGGGAGCAAACGGG